Molecule: long non-coding RNA, 274 nt
Organism: Sander lucioperca (pikeperch)
Lineage: Eukaryota; Metazoa; Chordata; Actinopteri; Perciformes; Percidae
Exons: 2
Source: RefSeq, a predicted model, not a curated record
AGGUUGCCAGGUUGAGGGUUCUAGGUUGCCAGGUUAAGGGUUCUAGGUUACCAGGUUGAGGGCUAUAGGUUGCCAGGUUGAGGUGACUAACAGGUUGAACAUUGUAUAUGGUGGAUUGUGUGAAUAGGAUGCGUUUCAUACAAGAUCUGGCAACUGGUCAACAUUAGACAAACAUAUUGGUCUGAUUAUUUAUGAAGGAGUUUGGGCCAUGCUGCAAAUUACGGGAGUUUCCUGGGAGAACUAACAAACCGAGAGGGGUCCAGGAGAUAGGGCU